CUGAAACAUUUCCCAUUUCCAGUUUGCAGUUUUGGAAAAUAUAGAUCACCUGAGGCUGGUAAAAACAGACACAUAUUCAGUAGAUAUGGGAAGGCCAAAAGCAAACAUUAACAGUAGUCCUACUACAAUCUCAUACAGAGUACAUAUUUAUGCAAGAAAUUUGUGACAGAAACACUAUAUCUUGUGGAAACUCAGAGAGCUAUAAAUACAUUCUCCUUUUUUAAGCCACAGGAAAUGUCAGAGUUGUCAGUUCCUGGUGCAAACAUGUUCAGAAACUCAAAAAUAACUAUAUGUAACUUUUGCUCUUGCAGAUGUAUACCCCAUUCAGGAGUAAACUUGAGAAAAGUCGGAUUAAACCUCCAGUCAUCAAUACAGUCCAUUCUGGUAGACUGGGAAAAUCAGUAAAUUAAAUCUCAAGAUUAAAUCCUGUCAGGAAUGGAGCAGUGCUGUGGCCCUUGCUGUUGUUCAACCCAAAUUGAGCAUGAAGAGAACUAGAGAAACAAGAAUUUCCUUGCUCCCACUUCUGAUCCAGGCAGUAACACGGGUUUGUUACCAUGCAUGCUGCAAUGAGAUCCCAGAGAGCGACCCGCGUUCUCGGGCCCAGAGAGCACCGCUGAAGAUUGCUGGU
Parus major (Great Tit) is the source of this 628-nucleotide long non-coding RNA. RefSeq lists it as uncharacterized. The record is from RefSeq and is a predicted model, not a curated record. The transcript has 3 exons. NCBI's taxonomy places the organism in Eukaryota, Metazoa, Chordata, Aves, Passeriformes, Paridae.